CCGACGGUGAGAGGUGAAAGCUGGGGGAGCAAACCGGAUUAGAUACCCGGGUAGUCCCAGCCGUAAACGAUGUGCGUUAGGUGUAUCGGUGACCACGAGUCACCGAGGUGCCGAAGAGAAAUCGUGAAACGUACCGCCUGGGAAGUACGGUCGCAAGGCUGAAACUUAAAGGAAUUGGCGGGGGAGCACCACAACAGGUGAAGCCUGCGGUUUAAUCGGACUCAACGCCGGAAAACUCACCAGAUAAGACAGCUGAAUGAUAGUCGGGCUGAAGACUCUACUUGACUAGCUGAGAGGAGGUGCAUGGCCGUCGUCAGUUCGUACUGUGAAGCAUCCUGUUAAGUCAGGCAACGAGCGAGACCCACGCCAACAGUUGCU
Molecule: ribosomal RNA, 378 nt
Filed under: uncultured archaeon
Lineage: Archaea
Description: bacterial SSU rRNA
Rfam family: Archaeal small subunit ribosomal RNA
Source: RNAcentral